UCGGUAUAUACCGUGGAACCAUGUUCACGGGUGACAGCUAUGAGAGAAAGAGUUUGUAAAUGCUUGUAAAGUGUUUUUAUAAAAUAGAUUUAUUAAUGAAACAGUCUGUUGAUUGGAAGGGGAAACGGGUAUUAGGACUAUACAGUUUUAAAAGACUCUUCCCUUAAGAAAAUUUGCAGUUGUGGACUUUCCUUAAAUGACUCUUCUUUAGAUCAAUUGUUUUCACCAGUUCUAGAUUGAUUCUGCAAUAAUCAACUUCACAUCCAUAAAGCCAUGAGUGUAGAUGAAGUAAAAAAUUUAUUACUAAAAAAAUUGAUAUUUUAGGUUAUUGAUUGCAGAGUCAGAGACCAAUGUGUGGAAUCUGAAAUUCUCUCUCACGAAACCCCAGCUAUCCUUCUGAUUCAACAAGGGUAUAAAGCAAUUAUAAUUUCAGGAGGUCCCAACUCAGUUCACGCAGUGGAUGCCCCACUAUACGACCCAGCAAUCUUUACUGGCAGUCUUUCAGUGCCGGAAAUUUGUUAUGCAUGCAAAUACUCAACAAGGAAUUAGGUGGAACGGUGAAGAGAAAAGAUGUUUGCGAAGAUGGGCAAUUCGAGAUCCAAAUAGAAAAGGAGUGUCCAUUGUUUAAAGGCUAAGAGACUCGGCAAAUUGUGUUACUGACCCGUGGUGACAGCGUAGAGAAGGUUGCAAAGGGGUUGCGUUGCGUCGCAAAAUCUUCACGUCAUAUUAUUUCCGCUAUUGCUGAUACUCCGUCUUUACGUAGUCCAGUUCCAUGAUUUGACUGAAAACGGACGAAAAAUGUGACAUAACUUCUUGUUCGACAUCUGUGGAUUGUAAGGACGUUUCACAUUGGAAGAACGCGAGCAGCUGUGUAUCGAUUACAUUCGGCGUACGGUUGAACGUGAUAAGAUCGUGCUCAUGUUGGUAAGAGGCGGAGUCGAUUCCGCCGUUUGUGCUGCCCUUCUCCACAAAGCACUUCUACAGGGUGAUGACUCGUCGCGAGUGCAGGCCAUCCAUAUCGACAACGGUUUUCUGCGUAAAGAUGAAUCCGAGCAGGUCGUCAAUAGUUUACAGCAACUCGGGCUCAAUCUUCGGUUAAUUUUUCUGGACCGUUCAGAAUAUUAUGAUUGGCCAAAAUGUGAUACGAGAUUAAUUGGUGCGUUGUCGUGUCACAUCUCAAUUUCUACGGUUUACAAUACUUGUUCUAUGACCGAGUUCUUUUACAGACAGGGGCUUCUUAUAUUUUCUUCUUACCGGCGAUUAGAUUUGAUGUUUCGAAUUGUUUUAGGUUGUUAAAGCAAGUUUGACUUUCUACGAUGCUUCCACCAACGUGCAUGGUAUCCAAACUUUGUCGUUGUGUCGGACUGUUAAUCCCUAAGAAAUACGUGGAAUUAUUGGCGAUAUGUUUGUUAAAGUGGCAGAUAGAACGGCUAACGAUUUAAAUCUCACUUGGUAUAAUCUAUUUCUCGGACAAGUGUCAUCAUAUAUGAAAAUAUUACAGGUACUUUGAUGCCGGAUUUAAUUGAGUCCUCUUCGCAUAUGGCUUCUUCGCUCGCUGAUGCUGUAAAGAUUUAUCAUAAUGAUUCCGAAAUGGUUCGUCAGUUGCGCCUUCCCGGUCGUAUUGUAGAACCUCUUUAAGGUUAUUGCAUUAAGGUGUUUCCUACGUUAUGGCAUUCCAACAAGAUCUUUACUCUUUUUGCAAUUUUUCCCAACAUGAUGAUGAUGAAGUAAGGGAAUUAUGUCGCGAGCUGGGUCUGCUCGCAGAAUUAGAGGUCAUCCGUCAUUUAACGUCAUCCGUUUCCUGGUCCCGGUUUGUUAAUUCGAAUUAGUUGCGCUGAAGAACCGUUCAUGGAAGUUGAUUUCGGUGAGACGCAAGUGCUGAUACGGAGGAUGUUCGAUUAUGCGAACAUGGCAACCAAGGAACAUGCCUUGCUCAAUCGGAUUGAAAUCACGAGGUCGGAAGAAGAGCGUCUUCUUCUGGAAGAACUGUCCCGUCACAACCAGUAUGUUGCCACGCUACUGCCUAGUCGCACUGUAGGUGUUCAGGAUGAUUGCCGAACUUAUAGCUAUCGCGUAGCACUGAGCUCUGAUCAGACACAACCAAACUGGAAUGAUUUAGCCACCUACGCCCGCUUAAUACCGCGUGUGUUCCAUAAUUUCAACCGUGUUUGCUACGUAUUCGGAAAGGCUGUGCGUGAAUCGGUGACAGACGUUACACCUACCUUCUUGACGAGUAACAUUUUGGCGACUUCAAGGAAAGCCGAUUAUUUGGCAAAUAAAAUAUUUCGGGAUUCGUUUUCUCCAAGAGGUUGGAGACAAGAUGGUUGAAGCCGUUUUAACUGUUCUAGGGUCUUGUAUGACCUGACAGCGAAACUAACCGCAAAAACGGAGUGGGAAGGAUUUGAUUUACGAACGUUGCUUAGGCAAAUUAUCUCCGCACUCUUUAUAGCACACGGAUACAGAGUUGUAUCAUUGACCAGAUUCAGUUGGGAAAUAUUAUGAACAGAAUGGAAUAUCUUCAUAUACUUUUGAAAUGGAAAAAUCAAUCAGCUUUGUCGUUUCGUGAAAAUCUCUUAAAAUGGCUUUAUAAGAGGAGUUCACGUGAUGACUUAUUGACAAUUCCCUAAAUAUACAUGCACACUUGUGGAAAAGAAUGGGUGCAUUUGUUUUUCGUCGAACUAGGUGGGUUGUUGUUCCUCUCCCUUGUAAAACUACCAUUUUAGCCUAAACUAAUAACUAUCAUUGAGCCUUGCGCAGUCUAGCUGCAUCCAGCCAGAUACGAGUAGAACCCGAAACAUUGUUUAGACGAAUACUGUCAAAUUUCGGUUGCAUGUUUUCACUAGAUACCAAAAUGAGCUUCCAAUUUGAAGUUGUGAGUGAUUUAUCGGAUUAUGGAUUCCUACUUUGAAAAUCAAAUUAUUUCCUUCUAAAAAUGGAUUUUGAAGUAUCGUACAUGUGGUAUUAUGUACUUGAUGAUAUCUUCGCGAAGCCUUUAAUUGACGUUUUACUAAAAAAUUCCCAUGGAAGGAAGUUCUUUCAGGAUCUGUUAUCGACCGUCUAUGUUAUGCAGUAAUUGGAUCUGCAGUUUAGUUAGAAACUUAGAAAUGUGCUCAGCAUAGAAUUUAUAUGAAAAAUGAUAUUUGAUUGGAAAAAGUUCCUGGUUGAGACAAGAGAUCAAAAAAAUGAUACUGUUUAGAAGGACGACCGGCAAUUUCAAGAUUCAUUUAUUUCCUUCCACUAUUUUUAUAUAUUUUUUAAAUUGAAUUGCAUAUCUGGGCUCCCUUCUUUUCUGUGGCCCCGUUUCCCCUUGACUUGUGAUAAGCCCGUAGGGGGUCAUGCCCCUACUGU
Molecule: long non-coding RNA, 3348 nt
Organism: Daphnia magna
Lineage: Eukaryota; Metazoa; Arthropoda; Branchiopoda; Diplostraca; Daphniidae
Exons: 11
Source: RefSeq, a predicted model, not a curated record